GAUGAACGCUGGCGGCGUGCUUAACACAUGCAAGUCGAACGAUGAAGCCCAGCUUGCUGGGUGGAUUAGUGGCGAAUGGGUGAGUAACACGUGAGUAACCUGCCCUUAACUCUGGGAUAAGCCUGGGAAACUGGGUCUAAUACCGGAUAGGAGCGCCUACCGCAUGGUGGGUGUUGGAAAGAUUUAUCGGUUUUGGAUGGACUCGCGGCCUAUCAGCUUGUUGGUGAGGUAAUGGCUCACCAAGGCGACGACGGGUAGCCGGCCUGAGAGGGUGACCGGCCACACUGGGACUGAGACACGGCCCAGACUCCUACGGGAGGCAGCAGUGGGGAAUAUUGCACAAUGGGCGAAAGCCUGAUGCAGCGACGCCGCGUGAGGGAUGACGGCCUUCGGGUUGUAAACCUCUUUCAGUAGGGAAGAAGCGAAAGUGACGGUACCUGCAGAAGAAGCACCGGCUAACUACGUG
RNAcentral lists this ribosomal RNA (466 nucleotides) under uncultured bacterium. Its description in RNAcentral is "partial 16S ribosomal RNA". It matches the Rfam family "Bacterial small subunit ribosomal RNA", at positions 28 to 507 of the family's 1533-position model. The record is from RNAcentral.